UAAAAGGCGGAGCCAGGUGUACAGAGUGGA
This 30-nucleotide non-coding RNA is filed under the name Homo sapiens (human). The record is from RNAcentral. Lineage: Eukaryota; Metazoa; Chordata; Mammalia; Primates; Hominidae.